Balaenoptera ricei (Rice's whale) is the source of this 396-nucleotide long non-coding RNA. RefSeq lists it as uncharacterized. Lineage: Eukaryota; Metazoa; Chordata; Mammalia; Artiodactyla; Balaenopteridae. The record is from RefSeq and is a predicted model, not a curated record. The transcript has 3 exons.
CCGACUGAGAAGAGUCUGCUUCCUCCUCCCGACCCCUUGUUUCAAGGCUAGAGAUAACAGAGAAGGGAGCCACAUCUCAACAGAGGAAACCAGGAAGCAGGACCUCCGAUGCUAAGGAUUUCACCAGAGGAGGAUGAGGAUUUUGUCAUUGUCUGAAGAAAACCUUCAAGUGCCCUAAGUAACCUUCUGGCGUCUGGGAAUAGGAUCAACAACCAGGGGGAAGAUCUAAAUCGGCUAUCUGGCUCUGAACCAUCCUGAUGAAGCAUCCUGAUGAACACCAGAGGCAGCCUUGAAGGAGCAAAGACAGCACCAUAUGGCAGCCUCCCAGAACCCAAAGGCUGGAAAUCAAAUGGCUAUCCAGUCCAGGCUGGAGCAGGAAUCACUACAUAGUUAAAC